GAGGUCAGGAGUUUGAGACCAGCCUGACCAACAUAGUGAAACAUUAUCUCUACGAAAAAUACAAAAAUUAGCCGUGCGUGGUGACCGGCGCCUGUAAUCCCAGCUACUCAGGAGGCUGAGGCAGGAGAAUCACUUGAACCCGGGAAGCGGAAGUUGGAGUGAGCCAAGAUCACGCCACUGCACUCCAGCCUGGGCAAGAGAGCAAGACUCCGUCUCAGAACAAACAAACACUAUUUUCAAAAGAGAAAAAGAAAGGAUAAGGAUACAUUUCUGAAUCCUAAGGUCUCACCACGGGAAGCCUGUAUCUUUACAAUUCAACAAUCAGCAUGGCCCCCAGAGAUGACGGGGUUCAUCCAUUCAGAUGAGAAAAUGAAGAAAGUGGCAGGAUUUUGUAGGAAUAGGAAGCUCCUUCGGGCUCAUGCCCAGCCACAGGCUGCCACAGCACGGAAAGGAAAAGUGAAACCAGCUCCAUCAAGUCAUUUUUCACUCUAGGAUUGUCAAAAGCUUUACAUUCAUCUCUUGGGAUCCGAGGAGAGAUAUCUGCCGAGAGAGAAUUUGGAUCGGAGCCAGCAAAGCAAACUCCAGAAGCCUUGGCUGCUGCGAAAGGGGAUUCAACACCUUUCCGGGUCGUUCUCACUUCAUUUCCAGCCGGUCCCCCUUUGGUGCUGUUUCCCAAGUAAUCAGACCUCAGGGGUUGCCUCCUGGUGGGGAAAGGGAAGCUUGCCUUGCUGGAGAAGGGGCUCAAGGCACAGGACUUGCCUCGGACUUGCCAAGGAGGCUUGCAGGAGGCUCUUUGUCUACUCCUCUGUCCUCAUCCAAGUAAGAGGAGCGGGGAAUUCCGAGGCUGUAACUGCCUGGGAAACGCCAGCCACGGAGCUGCUGAGGAUCAGACUCCUGGGUUUCAGCAUGGAGGCCAGGGAAGGGUCUGAUAAUGGCAAAUGGUUGUUCCAGAAAAAAUGCAGCAACACCUGAACUCUUCUAAAGAAAAAGAAGACAAAAUGAUCUAGUGCAUCUCUGCCAUCCUGUUGAAGAUCCUAUUUGAAAAAAGGGAGACACAGAGAAAGGUUUUUUUUUUUUUUUAAAAGUGAUAGAAUAAUCCAAAGUUAAAAAUUCAACACAAUGGAAAAUAUUAAUUCAAUCCAUGCUGCAAACAAGCUUCUUGGGUUGCUUUAUGAAUUGUAUGAGCUGAAGGACAGUACCUUCCAUAUGGUCAUAUCCUCACAACGCCUCUGGACAUAUUUUCCUAUCUGACCGUCUUUCCCACCUGGCCUCAAACUCCUGGGCUCAAGUGAUUCUCCCACCUCGGCCUCCCCAGUAGCUAGGACCACAGAUGCAUGCCACCAUGUCUGGCUAAUUUUUAAAAAUAUUUUGUGCAGACAGGGUCUCACUAUGUUGCCUUGGCUGGUCUCAACAAACUGGGGCUCAUCAGUAAAUUGGGGCACUCUUUUCAGGGCUGAUAACCUAUUCCCCUGGAUUCCCAAAACACUUUCUUAGUUCUUUCAAAGAGGUGAGCAAGUUUGCCUUGAGGCUAGAAGAAUGGAGAGAAGACUGGGCAUGGUGGCUCCUGCCUGUAGUCCCAGCACUUUGGGAGGCCAAGGCAGGUGAAUGGCUUGAGUUCAGGAAUUUGAGACCAGCCUAGGCAACAUGGUGAAACCUCAUCUCUAGAAAAACUGAGCCAGGCAUGGUGGCACACACCUGUAGUCCCAGCUACUCAGGAGGCUGAGGUGGGAGGAUCACCUGAGCCUGGGAAGUUGAGGCUGCAGUGAGCUGUGAUUGUGCCACAGCACUCCAGCCUGGGCAACAGAGGGAGAUCCUGUCUCAAUAAUAAUAAUAAUAAUUAAUAAUGUCUAGGACUUAGAUGGGCAAAGAGGUGAGGUGAAUAUUAAGUAUUUUGGAGCAGAAAGUAACAACUGUUUAUGUCGGAACAUCAGAAAAAGAAGACCAUGGGUCAGACACAAAUGCUCCCCCGCCUGCCCCCUGCAGUCUGUUCUCAGCACAGCCCCCUCUGUGGACUGUUGAAAUGCGGCUUCUCUGCUCAGUGCCCUCCGAUGGCACCACCUCACUUAGAAAAAAAGUCCUUGCAGUGACCUCAAGGCCCUACCUAAUCUGCCCACCACCCACCCUUCUGACCAUAUCUUUUUUUUUUUUGAGACAGAAUUUCGCUCUUGUUGACCAGGCUGGAGUGCAAUGACACGAUCUCGGCUCACCACAACCUCCACCUCCCAGGUUCAAGUGAUUCUCCUGCCUCAGCCUCCCGAGUAGCCGGGAUUACAGGCAUGCACCACCAAGCCCGGCUAAUUUUUUUUGUAUUUUUAGUAGAGACAGGGUUUCUCCAUGUUGGUCAGCCUAGUCUCGAACUCCCGACCUCAAGUGAUCCGGCCUCCCAAAGUGCCGGGAUUACAGGCGUGAGCCACUACGCCUGGCCCUGACCAUAUCUUUUAUGACCUUCUCCCUCACUCAGCUUCAGCCACACUGGCCUCCUUGCCAUUCUUCAAACACACGAGAUGCACUCCUGCCCCAAGCGCUUUGCUGUCCUCCUGCCUCCAAUCCUCUGCCUCCUCCCCAAUAUCCACAGCUCAGUCCCACACUUCUUUCAAGGUUUUCCUCAGAAGUCACCUUCUUGGUGGCUCAUGCCUGUAAGCACUUUGGGAGGCCAAGGCUGGUGGAUCACUUGAGCCCAGGAGUUUGAGACCAGCCUGACCAACAUGGUGAAACACCCCCUCUACUAAAAAUACAAAAAUAGCCAGGUGUGGUGGUGCAUGCCUGUAAUCCCAGCUACUCGGGAGGCUGAGGCAUGAUAAUUGCUUGCACCUGGGAGCAGAGGUUGCGGUGACAACUUUGUGCCAUGGCAUUCUAGCCUGGAUGACAGAGUGAGACUAUGCCUCAAAAAAAAAAAAAAGUCACCUUCUCAAUGAGGCCUUCCCUUAACAUCUCUACUUAAAAUUGCAAACCCCAACACUCCUUAUCCCUUUCCUUGCUUUAUUUUUCUCCAAAGCAUGUAUCUCUAUCUGAUAAACUACAUACUUUAUUUGUGUAGAUACUGUUUGUCUCCCUUAAAAACUCCGUGAGAUCAGUAAUAUUGUCUCUUUGAUCACUCCCAUAUCUCCGGUACUUAAACAGAGCCUGACAUACAGCAGGUGCUCAAUAUAAGUUGAAGAAAUGAAUUCAGGAAGGAAUGAAAAACCAUUAGCAGUAGGCUAAGGAACUUAGACUUUGUCCUGCUAGUAACCGAAAAUCAUUAAAGGAUUUUUCUCCCCCUCUUAUAGUCGAUAUCAGCUAGGAAAACGGAAUGAGUUUCCUUUCAGCAUGGCAGACAAGAAAAAGUAUAGAACACUGAGUCAGAUGCUCAUAUAUUUAAAUUCUAGUUUUGCCACUUAGAAGCUAAGUGACCUUUGAUAAGUUUUGUAAUCUCUCUGAAACUCCAUUGCUUCUCCUGAAAUACCUAUGACAGUAAUUCAUAGGGUUAUUGGGGGAAUUAAAUGAAACAUGUAGAAGUGUCUCAAACAGUACCUGGAAAAAAUGUUUUAAUAAAUGUUUGUUUCCCUCCCUUCUUUCUAACAAACUGAGAAAUUCCCUAUGCAUUAUGAUAUCAGUCAGAUUCCCAGAGGAAACAGAUGGCACACCCAAAUUAGGCUAAUUCGAGGUGAGUUAAAUAAAGAGACUCUAAAAGGUGUGGAGAAACCACAGAGGAUGGUGUAGUACCUAGACCCGGUGACAACUCUGUUGGGGCAUAGAGACAGGGGCGUAGGGACAGGGAGGGAGGAGUUUCCAGAACCCAGAAGGAGAGAAAAAUUUCAAAGGCAUAUUUAAAAUUCUAAAAGUGAUGAGAAGCCUAACUAUUUUAAAACAUGCUUUAUAUCUAGAAAAAGCAUAUGUCCCGGGUUUAAAAAAAAAACUGAAUUAAAAAAAAAAGCAGAUACUUGAACCAAAACCCCACACAACUCAAUGGCAAAAUAGAAGAUUUUUUUUUUCUUUUUCAGAUUCAGGGUCUCCCUCUGUCACCCAUGUUGAAGUGCAGUGACACAAUCAUAGCUCACUACGGCCUCGAAUUCCUGGGCUCAAGCAAUCCUCCCACUUCAGCCUCCCAAGUAGCUGGACUACAGGCACACACCACCACACCUGGCUAAUUUUUUUAAAAAUUGUUUUGUAGAGACAGGGAUCUCAAACAAAAAAAAGAGAGAGAGAGAGACAGGGGUCUCACUAUGUUGCCCAGGCUGGUCUCAAACUCCUGGCCUCAGCCUCCCAACGUGCUGGGAUUACAGGUGUGAGCCACUGUGCCCGGCCUAAAAGAUGUUAUUUUGAGAAACACAGAACACUUUUGAAAAGACAGAGCACUUGCUUAAGUAAAAAGAACAAGAGAGCAAAAAAUUUGGCAGCUCAACAACAAUCCAUUUAGCAGAUAAAAAUAUAAAUUGAUGAGCUGCUUGAUAGGCAGUUCCAAGAGCAAGAAUAAAAGUUUCUUUAAAUACAUCAAUGGCAGGAAGGCAUCUAGAGAAUCGAUGUGACUGCUUGAUUAAACAGAGUACAAAAGGUAAAUAAAUGAUGACUAUAUAGGAAAGAAAGUUACCAUGCCAGACUUGAAAUUCUGUUAAAGUUCCUUGAUUUGAACUUUGAAGCAGCAAAGCCUUCAGCAUUUCAGAGCCAAACUUAGGAUUUUUUUUUUUUUUUUUUUUUUUUUUUGAGACAGGGUCUCACUCUGUUACCCAGGCUGGAGUGCAGUGGCACGAUCACAGCUCACUGCAGCCUUGACUUCCCAGGUUCAAGCGAUCCUCCUACCUCAGCCUUACGAGUAGCUGGGACUGUGGCCACCACACUCGGCUGGAAUUUUUCAAACUAUUAUUUUUUAAAUGUGUUGUGGUCUAUUUAAAGGUGUUCUAGGCUGAGCGCGGUGGCUCACGCCUGUAAUCCUAGCACUUUGGGAGGCCGAGGCAGGCAGAUUGCUUGAGCCCAGGAGUUUGAGACCAGGCUGGGCAACAUGGUGAAAUCCUGUCUCUACAAAAAAAUACAAAAAAAUUACCCAGGUGUGGUGGUGGGCAACUGUGGUCCCAGCUACUCUGGAGGCCUACGUGGGAGGAUUCCUUGAACCUGGGAAGUUGAGGCUGCAGUGAGAUAGUGCCACUGUACUCCAAAUUGGGCAACAGAGUGGGACCCUGUCUCAAAAAACAAACAAACAAAAGAAGGUAUUCUAAAGUACAAGUUUACAGGUUUAUAGUACAGAACAAAUGUCUAGGUCAAAACCAGCUUUAUAAAGUUCUGCAAGAAAAGCUGGAGCAGGCAUAAGGAUAGCUAUACAGAUCAGCGGAACAGAAUUGAGAGUACAGAAAGAAACCCUCAUAUUUACAGCCCACUGGUUUUCAACAAGGGUGCCAAUGAUGGCAAUGGCUGCUGUCCUCAUGCUGGCUGCAGCAGGAAGGUGCAGCUGGGGCCACAUGCUCCAUGGAGCCAGUAGGAGCCCAGCCCCUUCUGAGUUGGGGCAGGAGCUCCCUGGGUGCCACUGUGGCCACCCUCCCAGUUGCAGGACCCAGGCAUCUCUGCAGCUUGCACCCUCAGGGGCCCCAGGAAGCACCCUACCCCUACCCCUGAAGGCUCAGGGGUGUCUGCUGCCACUGCCUGGCCUCUCUCUGCUCCCAGAGCCUGCUCCAAUCUCUGAGCAGGGGUUGGGGCUGAGUCCCGCAUGGCGCCGGAGGCAGAUUGAUUCCUGGGUGGAAGGGGGUGGGUCCCCAGUGAGACCCCACCUUCAGGCCAGGGAAGGCCUAAAGGCUGGGGGCUAGGCUGCCAGUCCUGUGGACCAGAGUGAGGACUGGUGGUGCCUCUUCCAGGCCCACCCAUGGCCACCCAUCGACCAAUCAGCAUGCACUGCCUCCCCUCUGAGGUCCAUAUAAGCCUUGGGCUCAGCCAGAGCAGGGCAGAUGAUGUCCUCAGGACAAAGAGGGUAGAGAGACAAUGGAAUGAUCAGCUGCAGAGAGGAGCUACCCUCCCUGCUGAUAGCUGGAGAUGAGGAAACAACAAGUUGCAGAGAGGAACUGCCCUCUCUGCUAAGAGCUGCAGAGAUGACCUGCUGGCAGAGAGGAGCCACCCUUCCCAGGGCCGCCUCUCCACUGACAGCUGCAGACAUUGGGACGACUAGUUGCAAAGAGGAGCUACUCUCUCCAGGGCCUCCUCUCUGCUGAGAACUGAACACUCAAUGGAUAACCUGCCUACAGAGAGGAGCUACCCACUGCGGAUCUCCUCUGAGCUGUUGUAACACUCAAUAAAGCUCAUCUUUGUCUUGUUUACCCUUCACUUGUCUGCAUACCUCAUUCUUCCUGGAUGCAUUCUUACUGGGUGCAGGAAAAGA
RNAcentral lists this long non-coding RNA (6337 nucleotides) under Homo sapiens (human). RNAcentral describes it as "HSALNT0105579". The record is from RNAcentral. Lineage: Eukaryota; Metazoa; Chordata; Mammalia; Primates; Hominidae.